Molecule: ribosomal RNA, 492 nt
Filed under: uncultured bacterium
Lineage: Bacteria
Description: partial 16S ribosomal RNA
Rfam family: Bacterial small subunit ribosomal RNA
Source: RNAcentral
AGUGAACGCUGGCGGUAGGCCUAACACAUGCAAGUCGAACGGCAGCACAGUAAGAGCUUGCUCUUACGGGUGGCGAGUGGCGGACGGGUGAGGAAUACAUCGGAAUCUACUUUUUCGUGGGGGAUAACGUAGGGAAACUUACGCUAAUACCGCAUACGACCUACGGGUGAAAGCAGGGGAUCUUCGGACCUUGCGCGAUUGAAUGAGCCGAUGUCGGAUUAGCUAGUUGGCGGGGUAAAGGCCCACCAAGGCGACGAUCCGUAGCUGGUCUGAGAGGAUGGUAAGCCACACUGGAACUGAGACACGGUCCAGGCUCCUGCGGGAGGGAGCAGUGGGGAAUGUUGGACAAUGGGCGCAAACCUGAUCCAGCCAUACCGCGUGGGUGAAGAAGGCCUUCGGGUUGUAAAGCCCUUUUGUUGGGAAAGAAAAGCAGCAGGUUAAUACCCCGCUGUUCUGACGGUACCCAAAGAAUAAGCACCGGCUAACCUCGUG